AAGAUUUUUAUCUUUAUCUUAGGUGAAAAAUUCAUCAGACUAAGAUUUUCAUCUUAGGAGAAAGAUUCAACAGACUAAGAUUGUGACUCUAGGAGAUAAUUCAUCAGACUAGGUCCAUUUUUGUGUGAUCUCAGGAGGAAGAUUCAUCAGACUGAUAUUUUGACUCUAGGAGAUAAUUCAUCAGACUAGGUCCAUUUUUGUGUGAUCCCGACUUUCUUAAUUUUCCAAAUUCCAACUUCCAUUCUUUUCAAAUUCUGCCUUCCUUUCUUGUUCCCAAAUUAUGCCUUCCUUUCUUUUCUUUUUUUUUUCGACUUCUGCCUUCCCCUUCUUUAAAUUAUGCCUUCCUUUCGUUUUUCCAACUUUUGCCUUUAUCUUAGGUGAAAUAUUAAUCAGACUAAGAUUUUUAUCUUAGGUGAAAGAUUCAACAGACUAAGAUUUCUUUAUCUUAGGUGAAAGAUUCAACAGACUAAGAUUUCUUUAUCUUAGGUGAAAAAUUCAACAGACUAAGAUUUCUUUUAACCAUUUUCCUUCAAAAUUUGUUUUAUCUACCCACUAACUUGAAUUAUCUUCCUUCAGAAUU
This 580-nucleotide long non-coding RNA is filed under the name Nicotiana tabacum (common tobacco). RNAcentral's name for it is "long non-coding RNA (NTAB_LNC019309)". The record is from RNAcentral. Lineage: Eukaryota; Viridiplantae; Streptophyta; Magnoliopsida; Solanales; Solanaceae.